Paramisgurnus dabryanus is the source of this 682-nucleotide non-coding RNA. Lineage: Eukaryota; Metazoa; Chordata; Actinopteri; Cypriniformes; Cobitidae. The record is from RefSeq and is a predicted model, not a curated record.
UGCUUUCACGUCACAUGCAAAAUUACACAGGAAUGUGGCUGACUUUUUAUUUGUAGUUUACAUGAGUGUCAUUGCACUUUUCAGGAGUUAAGGCAGAUGUGGAGGCACAACGGGUGAUACCAGACACACACCAAGCACAUUAUGUUCGGACAUUCAAUCAUGACAGGAUCCAGGUGGAUGCUGUCCAUUGAUGAAAGAGUUUGUUCAGCGGUUUCUGGAUAGAAUUAAUUCCAAAGAUGGGAAAAAGUGCACAUCCAGACAAGGAGCAAGCAAAAAGACAAGGAACUUGGUGCAGAGAAAAGCUGUGGCCAUUAACCCCCAUGUGAACAGCUUCAUGCAGUCCCUGAUUGAGUUCGAAUGGACGACUUCAAAGUAAAGGCCACUGUGGUCUGUCUGCCACAGUUUAAUGCAUUUAUUUUUAGUGUUAAAUGAAAUUUAAGUAGAAUAUUUAAAACUAUGGGCCAGUGUUCUUUUUACCACAGUGAAAUGUUACCUUUUAGUCGAUGAUGGACUUUAAACUGAAAACUUCAAACUAUGGACCAGUGUUCUAUUUGCCAGAGUUAAAUAUGUUACAGCAGGGGUCUCCAAACUUGUUUAUACUUGUUGAUUUUAUUUUAUGUUACUUGAUUAUAUGUUUAUUAUUGUUUAAAAUCUUGUUUUAAAUAUGUUUGUUUCAAUUAAA